GGCUAAGUGAGGUCUCUGUGGGUUGAGUUGGGACUGGGCCUGGUUCUCCAGGACUGUACACUUGCAAGACCCCGGAGUUCAUCGGGCAGAUCCUCACUGUUACAGACGAGUACACCGAGGCCCCAAGAGGGGGAGGUGGCUCGCCAAGUUGCAGACAGAGUGAGACUCCCGCCCUGCCGUGGAUCCCGUCGCAAUGAGACGUUGCUGCCCCUGGCGCUGUGCCCCUCUCUCAGCUCCUGCCUGGCUUCCUACUCCCUGCCCUGCGUCCCGCGGCUCCCCCAUAUUCUAGCUCGGCCAUCGACAAGCGGUCAGGGGAGAAGGUGGCCAUCAAGAAGCUGAGCCGACCCUUUCAGUCCGAGAUCUUCGCCAAGCGCGCCUACCGGGAGCUGCUGCUGCUGAAGCACAUGCAGCAUGAGAACGUCAUUGGGCUCCUGGAUGUCUUCACCCCAGCCUCCUCCCUGCGCAACUUCCAUGACUUCUACCUGGUGAUGCCCUUCAUGCAGACGGAUCUGCAGAAGAUCAUGGGGAUGGAGUUCAGUGAGGAGAAGAUCCAGUACCUGGUGUAUCAGAUGCUCAAAGGCCUUAAGUACAUCCACUCGGCUGGGGUCGUGCACAGGGACCUGAAGCCAGGCAACCUGGCUGUGAAUGA
This 649-nucleotide small RNA is filed under the name Pan troglodytes (chimpanzee). RNAcentral's name for it is "processed transcript". The record is from RNAcentral. Lineage: Eukaryota; Metazoa; Chordata; Mammalia; Primates; Hominidae.